CCGGCGUACUGGAACCUCUCUCGCGAUCCCGCACCCAGCUUGAAUUCAGCAAGAAUCGAAAACAGUCCAACAACCGUCGUAUCUACAGCGAUCCUUAGAGAACAAUUAAGGCCAGUUGACAGUAAAGAACAAUCAGUGUGUAUUUGAAGUCCAUGCUGAGAGAGCAUCAAUCUUCUGGCAGCUGCAAGACUGACCUAUCAACCGAGGCAUUUCUUCAUUCCCUGCCAUUGUCUCCUCCUCUUGAGAUCGCCAUCAGGCACAGUCACUUUUCUACAAACAGGCAAUAGGACUCCCGCUGCCACCCUGCCCAGAUUUUAGUCCUCUACUGCUGAUAAAGUGAGCAAAGAUACGUGGCACUUCCUGAACCCAAAUACUCUUCUGAGCUGAUUCUAAAUCCACACAGAAUCAACCUACCUCCUAUUACCUCCUUCCAAGCUCUGUGUCCCAUUCUCUCAUUUCAGUCUCAGCUCCAGACAUCAGUGAAUUCAAUGUGAUACAUCAGGGGACAUCACAGGACUUCCCUACUUGAAAAUCAAGCAAUCGUGUCCCUGAAACACUCUGUCUUUAUUCAUGCUCAGUUACCGUAAAGUAGAUGCAACUCUAAGAACCUAUGGAUUUUUUUAUUGCCACUAAUAGAUCAUGAUUUACAGCAAAAUUUUAAAAGGUCCAAUUUUACUCACAUAAGAAGAAGAAAACAUUCAGCAAGAAGCAUUUCUUUUGCUUUAUCUUUCCCA
RNAcentral lists this long non-coding RNA (734 nucleotides) under Homo sapiens (human). RNAcentral's name for it is "non-protein coding lnc-SULF1-3:2". Lineage: Eukaryota; Metazoa; Chordata; Mammalia; Primates; Hominidae. The record is from RNAcentral.